Molecule: ribosomal RNA, 1462 nt
Filed under: uncultured marine bacterium
Lineage: Bacteria
Description: 16S ribosomal RNA
Rfam family: Bacterial small subunit ribosomal RNA
Source: RNAcentral
AACGAACGCUGGCGGCAUGCCUAACACAUGCAAGUCGAACGAAGUCUUCGGACUUAGUGGCGCACGGGUGAGUAACAUGUGGGAAUUUACCUAAAGGUUCGGAAUAACUGCGGGAAACUGUAGCUAAUACCGGAUGUGUCCGAAAGGAGAAAGAUUUAUCGCCUUUAGAUGAGCCCGCACUAGAUUAGUUUGUUGGUGAGGUAAAAGCUCUACCAAGACUACGAUCUAUAGCUGAUUUGAGAGGAUGAUCAGCCACACUGGGACUGAGACACGGCCCAGACUCCUACGGGAGGCAGCAGUGGGGAAUAUUGGACAAUGGGGGAAACCCUGAUCCAGCAAUGCCGCGUGAGUGAAGAAGGCCUUCGGGUUGUAAAACUCUUUCAUCAAUGAAGAUAAUGACAUUAAUUGAAGAAGAAGCUCCGGCUAACUCCGUGCCAGCAGCCGCGGUAAUACGGAGGGGGCUAGCGUUGUUCGGAAUUACUGGGCGUAAAGCGUAUGUAGGCGGAUCAAAAAGUUAGAUGUGAAAUCCCUGGGCUCAACCCAGGAACUGCAUUUAAAACUAGUGAUCUAGAAUUUGGUAGAGGUUAGUAGAAUUUCCAGUGUAGAGGUGAAAUUCGUAGAUAUUGGAAAGAAUACCGGUGGCGAAGGCGACUAACUGGGCCAUUUUUGACGCUGAGAUACGAAAGCGUGGGUAGCAAACAGGAUUAGAUACCCUGGUAGUCCACGCAGUAAACGAUGAGUGCUAGUCGCUGGGUCAAAAGAUUCGGUGUCGAAGCUAACGCAUUAAGCACUCCGCCUGGGAAGUACGGUCGCAAGAUUAAAACUCAAAUAAAUUGACGGGGGCCCGCACAAGCGGUGGAGCAUGUGGUUUAAUUCGAAGCAACGCGAAGAACCUUACCAGACCUUGACAUGGUAUGUUUGAAUUACAGAAUCGUAAUUCUUCAGUUCGGCUGGCAUACACACAGGUGCUGCAUGGCUGUCGUCAGCUCGUGUCGUGAGAUGUUGGGUUAAGUCCCGCAACGAGCGCAACCCUCAUCUUUAGUUGCCAUCAGGUUAUGCUGGGCACUCUAAAGAAACUGCCGGUGAUAAGCUGGAGGAAGGCGGGGAUGACGUCAAGUCCUCAUGGCCCUUACGGUCUGGGCUACACACGUGCUACAAUGGUGGUGACAGUGGGCAGCUAUGUCGCGAGACAAAGCUAAUCCCAAAAAGCCAUCUCAGUUCAGAUUGGACUCUGCAACUCGAGUCCAUGAAGUUGGAAUCGCUAGUAAUCGUAGAUCAGCAUGCUACGGUGAAUACGUUCUCGGGCCUUGUACACACCGCCCGUCACGCCAUGGGAAUUGGUUUUACCUUAAGCCGGUGCGCUAACCGCAAGGAGGCAGCCGUCCACGGUAGGGUCAGUGACUGGGGCGAAGUCGUAACAAGGUAUCCGUAGGGGAACCUGCGGAUGGAUCACCUCCUUUCU